Molecule: ribosomal RNA, 471 nt
Filed under: uncultured bacterium
Lineage: Bacteria
Description: bacterial SSU rRNA
Rfam family: Bacterial small subunit ribosomal RNA
Source: RNAcentral
GAUGAACGCUAGCGGCAGGCUUAACACAUGCAAGUCGAGGGACGGUAGCAAUACUGGACCGGCAAACGGGUGCGGAACACGUACGCAACUUACCCCAACAGGUGAACAGCCUUCGGAAACGAAGAUUAAUACACCGUAAGAUAUAGGAGUGGCAUCAUUUUUAUUAUAAUAGCUCAGGCGGUUUGGGAUGGGCGUGCGCCUGAUUAGGUAGUUGGUGGGGUAACGGCUCACCAAGCCAACGAUCAGUAACUGGUGUGAGAGCACGACCAGUCACACGGGCACUGAGACACGGGCCCGACUCCUACGGGAGGCAGCAGUGAGGAAUAUUGGGCAAUGGACGCAAGUCUGACCCAGCCAUGCCGCGUGAAGGAUGAAGGCGUUCUGCGUUGUAAACUUCUUUAUCUGGGAAGAAACCUACGAUUUCUAUUGUAGCUGACGGUACCAGAGGAAUAAGCACCGGCUAACUCCGUG